UACGAAGGGGGCUAGCGUUGUUCGGAAUUACUGGGCGUAAAGCGCACGUAGGCGGAUUUUCAAGUCAGGGGUGAAAUCCCGGGGCUCAACCUCGGGACUGCCUUUGAUACUGUAAAUCUCGAGUCCGGAAGAGGUGGGUGGAAUUCCUAGUGUAGAGGUGAAAUUCGUAGAUAUUAGGAAGAACACCAGUGGCGAAGGCGGCCCACUGGUCCGGUACUGACGCUGAGGUGCGAAAGCGUGGGGAGCAAACAGG
Molecule: ribosomal RNA, 253 nt
Filed under: uncultured bacterium
Lineage: Bacteria
Description: partial 16S ribosomal RNA
Rfam family: Bacterial small subunit ribosomal RNA
Source: RNAcentral